This 3057-nucleotide ribosomal RNA is filed under the name Plectosphaerella sp. Its description in RNAcentral is "large subunit ribosomal RNA". It matches the Rfam family "Bacterial large subunit ribosomal RNA". The record is from RNAcentral. Lineage: Eukaryota; Fungi; Ascomycota; Sordariomycetes; Glomerellales; Plectosphaerellaceae.
UAUAGAACAUAUAAUUAUAUAUAUAUAUAACUAUAUAAAGAAAUUAUUCAGGGAGACUUAGCUAUGUAUUAACGAGUCUAAAUUCUUUGUUUUGUUUGAAUUCUAAUUUAAUUAUUUUUAAUAGUAAAUUAAGUUUAAACAAAUAAUUGUAAAUAUAAAAUCUAAGAGAAAUCAGAUAGUUGACGAAGUGAAUUGAAAUAUCUUAGUAGCCUCCCGAAAAGAAAUCAAAAGAGAUUCUAUUAUUAACGUGAGCUAAAAUAGAACAGUCUAUAUCUUAAGUAAAAAGGCUACAACUGUUUGAAUUAAUUGGGGGACCUUCCUCAAAGGCUAAAUAUCAUACAUGAGCGAUAGUAUACGAGUACCGUGAGGGAAACGUUUUCUAGGAGUAAUUUUCUAAGCAGUUCAAGCGAAAGUAAGAACGUACCUUUUGCAUAAUGGGUCAUCAACUUAACAUUAGAUGCGAGCUAAAGCGUAGAUAAACCAAUCGUUAAAAUAACGAAAAGUGUCUAAAGUUCGACCCGAAGCCCGGUGCUUUUACCACAAUCAGGAUUCCAAAGGUCCGAACGGGUUAUCGUUGUCAAGAUAUACGAGGAAUUGUGGUCGGUAGUGAAAGACAAUACUGACCGGGAUAGCUGGUUUUCUGCGAAACCUAUAACAGUAGGCAAUUUGAGUAACAUCUUAGCAGGUACAGCACUUAAUCUCAGGCAAGGUGUAAAAACUUUAAAGUGCAAACUUUAAAAAUACAUCAAACAUAUAUAUUUAAAUAUUUGUGCAUCUCGGGGGAUCGUGAAGAUUUUAUCGGUGAGUAUGUAGACUCGGAAUGGCAAAGAUGAAUCUUUAAUUAUCGGACAUAGAAUGAUAAGGUUGUAUCUCGACAGGGAAACAGCCCAGAACAAGAGUUAAGGUUCCAAAAUUAUUUGUUGAGUGAAAUUACGAAGGUUAAAAUUAAAGUCGCCAAGGAGAUUGGCUUAGAAGCAGCCAUAAUUUAAAGUACUCGUAACAGAGCGCUUGUUAAGUUUUAUAAGCAUCGAAAAUUUACCGGAUCUAAACAAUAUACCGAAACCUUGUCCCUAAAUAACAAUAAUAUUAAUUAUUGUAAUUAUAUGGGGUCGCAGAACGUUGAAUUAAAUUAAGAAAUUUAGUAUAAAAAUAAAUAACAAAAAAUUCAAGUGAGAAUGGUGACAUGAGUAACCAUAAGAAGGAAAUAAAAAAUCCUCCGCCUAAAGCUUAUGGAUCAAGGAAAAGUAAAGGCCUCUCAGUUUGGAACCUAAAGGUUUAAAUGAUGAGAAAAUCUUUUUUACUAUAUAACAACAUUUCUAAGUGAAAAAUGUUCAGGAAAAAGUAGUAAAUAUAUAUAUAGAAACAUAUAUGAAUAUAACCGUACCUAGAUUCUAUCAAAAGUAAGCUAGUAGCGUAUACGAAGGCGUCAAUGAGAUAACAAUCAUAAAGGAACUCGGCAAACUAACUACCGUAAAUUCGGGAUAAGGAGAGCUCAUUAGUCUUGAAUAAUAUCAGGUAAAAAGGAAGAAGCAUAAAAUAGUGUUGUACGCCUGUUUAAUUAAAACACAGCACUUCGCUAAAAGAUGAAAAAAUCUAAGUAUUGAGUGUGAUGUCUGCCCGAUCCCGGCAGGUUAACGGAUUAAUUGAAUUAUUCAAAAUUUGGUUUUGAAGGAACCCCCGGUUAAUGGCGGCCUUAACGUGAGGGUCCUAAGCUAGCGAAAUGCCUUGGCCGUUCAAUGCGGUCUUGCAUGAAUGAUGUAACGAUACAACAGCUGUCUAUCUGAUUGACUCAGUGAAAUUAUAAUAACUGUGCAGAUACAGUUUACCUCUAGUUAGACGAGAAGCCCCUAUGCAGCUUUACUGUUACUAAUAAUAAAAUAUGAUAUGAAAAUUUUAGACAUAAGGUAUUUGAUUAAAUGACUAUGAAAAACCUUUAUUUAUAAUUCGUGUUUCAGAAUAAAUAAAAACCUAGUCUGAUUUUAGCCUUGGUAAGGAAUAUAUUAUUAGAAGACAGUUUAUGUGGGGCACAGGCCCCUUAAAGAGUAAAAGGGAGUGUCUAAUUAUUAUUAGUUAUAUCUCUAUAACCAUGUUUGCGGUUUUAUGUAGAUUAAGUGUUUUAUACAUUUCCUAUAUUAAAUCCUCUCCAAUUAUUUAGCGAGUGACUCUUUUGUACCUUUAAUGGUAGGGGUACUCCUAAGUCAAGAAAAGCAAAUUUUAAGGUACGUUUACCCCCUAUAGUGAAAAUAGGUGUAUAGAAAAAAAUAUUAUGAAAUUUUCUAAUAUUUUAUUAGUUAGGAAAGAAAACUUUGCUAAUUAUGUUUCAUACUUACAGAGCUCAACGGCUUAAGCGUGCCUUACUGUUUGAUUAACAAAAAAUCUUACCGUUGCGUACGCAGGGCAUAGGAUCACAAGAUGCAAUAAGGAAAGAUCUUGGAUUCUUGGAAAAGCUACGCUAGGGAUAACCAUUUUGUGAAAAAUAGAAAUAAAUAAAUUAUGAUAACAAGUAGAACAGGCUAAUUUGCGCAAGAGUGUACAAAAUGAGUGCGCGGUUUGGCACCUCGAUGUCGGCUUAACUUACCCUCAUGGAAGCAGAAACUAUGUAGGGUACGACUGUUCGUCGAUUAAAAAGUUACACGCGCUGGGUUCAAUACGUCGUGAGACAGUAUGGUUUCUAUCUUCUAGAGGGAAUUGGAAUAAAAUAACGAUUAACAUUUGUACGAAAGGAACAGGAGAAGCUUAAUCCAAAAGAUUAGGUAUUAUUAAUUCUUAACCUAUGGUUUCCCUGUUGUUUAUAAGCCCAAUAUUAAAUAAUUGUAAGACUUACAAGGGAUGUUACUCUCACUUAACUAAAUUUAUAUUAUAGGCACGGCAGGACAGCUAAGUUAGUUUAAAGAUAAGUGAUGAAAGCAUAUAGGCACGAAGCUUACCUUAGGAUAUUUCUAAUUUCGAAACCUAAUAGCAUAUUACGGCAUAUGCAAUAGGCUUUGUUUGUAAGGAUCUAGAGAUUUUCAGAUACACAGUACUAAUUAGAAAAAUUACUAUUUAUUAAUAUAUCUU